RNAcentral lists this ribosomal RNA (272 nucleotides) under uncultured Bacteroides sp. RNAcentral describes it as "partial 16S ribosomal RNA". It matches the Rfam family "Bacterial small subunit ribosomal RNA", at positions 70 to 339 of the family's 1533-position model. Lineage: Bacteria; Pseudomonadati; Bacteroidota; Bacteroidia; Bacteroidales; Bacteroidaceae. The record is from RNAcentral.
UGGUCUUAGCUUGCUAAGGCCGAUGGCGACCGGCGCACGGGUGAGUAACACGUAUCCAACCUGCCGUCUACUCUUGGACAGCCUUCUGAAAGGAAGAUUAAUACAAGAUGGCAUCAUGAGUCCGCAUGUUCACAUGAUUAAAGGUAUUCCGGUAGACGAUGGGGUCGCGUCCUAUCAGCUUGACGGCGGGGUAACGGCCCACCUAGUCUUCGAUGGAUAGGGGUUCUGAGAGGAAGGUCCCCACAUUGGAACUGAGACACGGUCCAAACUCC